This is a non-coding RNA of Pelobates cultripes (western spadefoot toad), 211 nucleotides long. NCBI's taxonomy places the organism in Eukaryota, Metazoa, Chordata, Amphibia, Anura, Pelobatidae. The record is from the annotation of a GenBank genome assembly.
CUGAGCUAUUUAAGGCAAUAAGAGAACUGUGUAUAUGGGGCAAUUCUGGCACUGUUGCCAUGGAAUGUUCCUACUGAUUGCCCAGCUAUUAACUUUGUUACAGAACGUUGCCUCACACAUGACCCCUGUCAUUGAGCUUUUGUAAUGUGACAUAUUGGGGAGAACCUUUUUUUUUUUUUUUUAAAUUCUUUAUUUCAGUAGACUGUCCAUG